UACGUAGGGUGCAAGCAUUAAUCGGAUUUAUUGGGCGUAAAGGGCGCGUAGGCUGGGCGAUAAGUCAGAUGUGAAAUCCCGGGGCUCAACCCCGGAACUGCAUUUGAAACUGUGGUCCUAGAGGGUAGGCGGAGAAAACGGAAUUCCACAAGUAGCGGUGAAAUGCGUAGAUAUGUGGAAGAACACCGGUGGCGAAGGCGGUUUUCUAGCUUAUACCUGACGCUAAAGCGCGAAAGCAAGGGGAUCAAACAGG
RNAcentral lists this ribosomal RNA (253 nucleotides) under uncultured bacterium. RNAcentral describes it as "partial 16S ribosomal RNA". It matches the Rfam family "Bacterial small subunit ribosomal RNA", at positions 524 to 776 of the family's 1533-position model. The record is from RNAcentral.